ACGCCGCGUGCGGGAUGACGGCCUUCGGGUUGUAAACCGCUUUUGACUGGGAGCAAGCCCUUCGGGGUGAGUGUACCUUUCGAAUAAGCACCGGCUAACUACGUGCCAGCAGCCGCGGUAAUACGUAGGGUGCAAGCGUUAUCCGGAAUUAUUGGGCGUAAAGGGCUCGUAGGCGGUUCGUCGCGUCCGGUGUGAAAGUCCAUCGCUUAACGGUGGAUCCGCGCCGGGUACGGGCGGGCUUGAGUGCGGUAGGGGAGACUGGAAUUCCCGGUGUAACGGUGGAAUGUGUAGAUAUCGGGAAGAACACCAAUGGCGAAGGCAGGUCUCUGGGCCGUCACUGACGCUGAGGAGCGAAAGCGUGGGGAGCGAACAGGAUUAGAUACCCUGGUAGUCCACGCCGUAAACGGUGGAUGUUGGAUGUGGGGACCAUUCCACGGUCUCCGUGUCGGAGCCAACGCGUUAAGCAUCCCGCCUGGGGAGUACGGGCCGCAAGGCUAAAACUCAAAGAAAUUGACGGGGGCCCGCACAAGCGGCGGAGCAUGCGGAUUAAUUCGAUGCAACGCGAAGAACCUUACCUGGGCUUGACAUGUUCCCGACAGCCGUAGAGAUAC
This 611-nucleotide ribosomal RNA is filed under the name uncultured bacterium. Its description in RNAcentral is "bacterial SSU rRNA". It matches the Rfam family "Bacterial small subunit ribosomal RNA", at positions 394 to 1009 of the family's 1533-position model. The record is from RNAcentral.